CCUACGGGAGGCAGCAGUGGGGAAUAUUGGGCAAUGGAGGAAACUCUGACCCAGCAACGCCGCGUGAAUGAUGAAGGUCUUCGGAUUGUAAAGUUCUUUUCUAAGGGAAGAAGAAAGUGACGGUACCUUAGGAAUAAGCAUCGGCUAACUCCGUGCCAGCAGCCGCGGUAAUACGGAGGAUGCGAGCGUUAUCAGGUUUUAUUGGGUUUAAGGGGUGCGCAGGCGGUCUGUUAAGGCGGCGGUCACAGCCCGGGGUUCACCCCCGGCCCGCCGUUGAAACUGGCAGUCUCGAGUUGGAGAGAAGCAGGCGGAAUGCGCGGUGUAGCGGUGAAAUGCAUAGAUAUCGCGCAGAACUCCGAUUGCGAAGGCAGCAUGCCGGCUCCACACUGACGCUGAGGCACGAAAGCGUGGGUAUCGAACAGGAUUAGAUACCCUAGUAGUC
Molecule: ribosomal RNA, 442 nt
Filed under: uncultured bacterium
Lineage: Bacteria
Description: partial 16S ribosomal RNA
Rfam family: Bacterial small subunit ribosomal RNA
Source: RNAcentral